GACGAACGCUGGCGGCGUGCCUAAUACAUGCAAGUAGAACGCACAGUUUAUACCGUAGCUUGCUACACCAUAGACUGUGAGUUGCGAACGGGUGAGUAACGCGUAGGUAACCUGCCUGGUAGCGGGGGAUAACUAUUGGAAACGAUAGCUAAUACCGCAUAAUAUUGAUUAUUGCAUGAUAAUUGAUUGAAAGAUGCUAUUGCAUCACUACCAGAUGGACCUGCGUUGUAUUAGCUAGUAGGUGAGGUAACGGCUCACCUAGGCGACGAUACAUAGCCGACCUGCGAGGGUGAUCGGCCACACUGGGACUGAGACACGGCCCAGACUCCUACGGGAGGCAGCAGUAGGGAAUCUUCGGCAAUGGACGAAAGUCUGACCGAGCAACGCCGCGUGAGUGAAGAAGGUUUUCGGAUCGUAAAGCUCUGUUGUAAGAGAAGAACGGGUGUGAGAGUGGAAAGUUCACACUGUGACGGUAUCUGACCAGAAAGGGACGGCUAACUACGUG
This 505-nucleotide ribosomal RNA is filed under the name uncultured bacterium. Its description in RNAcentral is "partial 16S ribosomal RNA". It matches the Rfam family "Bacterial small subunit ribosomal RNA", at positions 28 to 507 of the family's 1533-position model. The record is from RNAcentral.